AAAAGUCGUAACAAGGUCUCCGUUGGUGAACCAGCGGAGGGAUCAUUACAAGGAGCCGAAAGGCUGCCCGAAACCAUCGCGAACCCAUCCAAGUUGCUUCGGCGGCCUGGCCCCUCCCCUCGGGGGGGGCCGAGCCGCCGGAGGACCAGAACCCUCCUGUAUUAUAGCGGCAUCUCUGAGUACAACAAGCAAAUAGGCCAAAACUUUCAACAACGGAUCUCUUGGUUCUGG
RNAcentral lists this unclassified non-coding RNA (231 nucleotides) under fungal sp. RNAcentral's name for it is "partial internal transcribed spacer region". The stretch from base 1 to 48 matches the Rfam family "Eukaryotic small subunit ribosomal RNA", at positions 1784 to 1831 of the family's 1831-position model. Lineage: Eukaryota; Fungi. The record is from RNAcentral.